ACGCGAGCUGGGUUCAGAACGUCGUGAGACAGUUCGGUCCCUAUCCGUCGCAGGCGUAGGAAAUUUGAGAAGACCUGUCCUUAGUACGAGAGGACCGGGAUGGACGUACCUCUGGUGUACCAGUUGUCCUGCCAAGGGCAUGGCUGGGUAGCUAUGUACGGAAUGGAUAAGCGCUGAAAGCAUCUAAGCGCGAAGCCAACUUCAAGAUAAGAUUUCCCACCGCAAGGGUAAGACCCCAGAAAGACUAUCUGGUUGAUAGGUCGAAGGUGUAAGUGCAGUAAUGUAUUUAGCUUAUCGAUACUAAUAGGUCGAGGACUUGACCAAU
RNAcentral lists this ribosomal RNA (325 nucleotides) under Clostridioides difficile. RNAcentral's name for it is "partial 23S ribosomal RNA". It matches the Rfam family "Bacterial large subunit ribosomal RNA", at positions 2598 to 2925 of the family's 2925-position model. The record is from RNAcentral. Lineage: Bacteria; Bacillati; Bacillota; Clostridia; Peptostreptococcales; Peptostreptococcaceae.